GCCGAUGGCUGCCUCCGGGCGGUGAUUGCGGUUUUUCCUUGAGCUCGGUGUCCGCUCCCGGGCCGGCCGGUGCCGCGCCGUGGGCCGGAGGCUGCGGGGCGGUAGCGGCAGCGCCGAGAGGAGCCGGCGGUCAGGCGGCCGCGCGGGACUCCUCGCUUCCCACUCGGGCCAAGAUGGCGGGGGACGAGGCGGGAGUGACUCUGGGGCAGCCGCACCUCAGCCGCCAGGAUCUCGCCACCUUGGAUGUUACCAAGUUGACGCCUCUUUCACCAGAAGUCAUCAGCAGACAAGCAACAAUUAAUAUAGGUACAAUUGGUCAUGUAGCCCAUGGAAAGUCGACAGUAGUCAAAGCUAUAUCUGGAGUUCAUACUGUCAGAUUUAAAAAUGAACUGGAAAGAAAUAUCACAAUCAAGCUGGGUUACGCUAAUGCAAAGAUUUACAAGCUGGAUGACCCAAGCUGCUCUCGACCAGAGUGUUACCGAUCCUGUGGAAGCAGCACCCCAGAUGAGUUCCCUACAGAUAUUCCUGGCACCAAAGGGAACUUUAAACUAGUCAGGCAUGUCUCUUUUGUGGAUUGCCCUGGCCACGAUAUUUUGAUGGCUACCAUGCUGAACGGUGCAGCAGUAAUGGAUGCAGCUUUGCUGUUGAUAGCUGGUAAUGAGUCAUGCCCUCAACCUCAGACCUCAGAACAUCUAGCUGCUAUAGAAAUCAUGAAACUGAAGCACAUUUUGAUUCUACAGAAUAAGAUUGACUUGGUGAAAGAGAGCCAGGCUAAAGAACAGUAUGAACAAAUUCUUGCAUUUGUACAAGGUACAGUUGCAGAAGGAGCUCCAAUAAUUCCAAUCUCAGCACAGCUGAAAUACAACAUAGAGGUGGUUUGUGAGUACAUAGUGAAGAAAAUCCCCGUCCCUCUGCGAGACUUCACAUCUGAACCAAGGCUCAUUGUAAUUAGAUCUUUUGAUGUCAACAAGCCUGGCUGUGAAGUUGAUGACCUUAAGGGAGGUGUUGCUGGUGGCAGUAUUCUUAAGGGUGUUUUAAAGGUGGGCCAGGAAAUUGAGGUGAGGCCUGGUAUUGUGUCCAAGGACAGUGAAGGCAAACUCAUGUGCAAACCAAUCUUUUCCAAAAUUGUGUCACUCUUUGCUGAACACAAUGAUCUACAAUAUGCUGCUCCAGGAGGCCUUAUAGGUGUUGGCACUAAGAUCGAUCCCACGUUGUGCCGGGCUGACCGCAUGGUGGGCCAGGUUCUUGGUGCAGUUGGGGCACUGCCAGAAAUCUUUACAGAGCUGGAAAUUUCCUACUUCCUGCUGAGACGACUCCUGGGCGUGCGCACUGAAGGAGACAAGAAAGCUGCAAAGGUGCAAAAAUUAUCGAAGAAUGAAGUUCUAAUGGUAAACAUAGGAUCCUUGUCUACUGGAGGGAGAGUCAGUGCUGUAAAGGCUGAUUUGGGGAAGAUUGUGCUAACUAACCCUGUAUGCACAGAAGUGGGAGAAAAAAUUGCUCUGAGUCGAAGAGUUGAGAAACAUUGGCGAUGACAAGGAAAUGUAGACAGGAAUUUAGUGCUUGCUGUCUCAGAGCAAGAUGACAAAUUAGGGAAGAGAUUGUUCUCUGAAAAAAAAACACCAAGGCAAAAGAUAACAUGUCUUGAACAGGAGGAAAAACAAGGCAGGACCCAAAUUAAGUCAGUUUAAUUGGCUGGGGUCAGAUCAGAAGAGGAGUGACAAUCAAGCCAACUGUUGAUGAUGACUGAAGAACAAAAGAGUGCUUCAUUUUUAAAGAUGAAGUGCCUAUUUCUAUUUUGGAGGGGUGUAUUUUCACAGUGGAAUUGGAAGCUGUGCAAACAGUAUCUUUGAGUUGUAUGGCUGUCCUCAUACCUUUUAUUGACUUUUACCCUCUUACUAAAAUACUAGUCACUAUCACCAUUAAAAGUGUAAAAGAAUUGGCAUAGAAAUGGGUUUCAUUAUCCACAUUUUAGUAGAAAUUAAUUGUACAUGUCUCAUGGCAUGUCUAAUUUAUGUUACUUUGUGUUUCAGACAUAUCUGUUUAAUAUCAGUCAAACCAGCCCCAGUGUAACACACAAACCAUAAAUCUGGCAUUGAAAUAAAAUAUUGCUUAUUUUCAUUAAUUCAUACAGUUUUUUUGAGUAACAAAAGACUGCAGUGAUUGUUCAAGUACAAGAAUUAAAAGCAAGCAAACUCUUCUUGGAAGACCAGUACCUUUUCUGCACAAUUUGUUUUGUUGAGACAGCUGUUACCAACAAAAAACUUUAUUUCUUUGUUUCUAUGGUUCUUGAUUUUAGGAUUCUAAAGUAUUACACUUUGUAAUUAGGAUGGCAGUAUUGACUGACUUGAAUUUGUCAUUUCUGAUAUUACUACAUGUUUUCUUAAAUCCCCAAAAAAACUCCACAAGUAAACUGGAUCUGAACUGGCA
RNA transcript from Passer domesticus (house sparrow), 2427 nucleotides. It is a transcript of the gene named eukaryotic translation initiation factor 2 subunit gamma, with no coding region annotated. The transcript has 13 exons. The record is from RefSeq and is a predicted model, not a curated record. Lineage: Eukaryota; Metazoa; Chordata; Aves; Passeriformes; Passeridae.